GAGGUUGAUAGGUUCGGUGUGGAAGCGCGGUAACGCGUGGAGCUGACGAAUACUAAUCGGUCGAGGACUUAUCCACA
This 77-nucleotide ribosomal RNA is filed under the name Brevibacillus brevis. RNAcentral describes it as "partial 23S ribosomal RNA". Lineage: Bacteria; Bacillati; Bacillota; Bacilli; Caryophanales; Paenibacillaceae. The record is from RNAcentral.